AGCACUCUGUAUCUGCAACCAGUUGUUCCGUCAGCUGGAUUGCUCAAAAGUCAGUGCUAGACAAACUCAACAUCUGGCAUUGUUGGUCUCCUGACAACCAGUGUCUGGAGUCCUGGUUGAUGGCUGAAACACUCUAACUUGUCUUUAAAAUGCA
Molecule: small nucleolar RNA, 154 nt
Organism: Pseudoliparis swirei
Lineage: Eukaryota; Metazoa; Chordata; Actinopteri; Perciformes; Liparidae
Product: small nucleolar RNA SNORA8
Exons: 1
Source: RefSeq, a predicted model, not a curated record